UCAAUCAUACAUCUUUAAGGUCACUUUAUUUAGGUGAAGUGUUAAUAGGGAAGCUGGUGUAAAUCCAGCACGGUCCCGCCACUGUAAAACGCUAGAAUGUUUUAUUUAUCCACUGUCCAUAUGAUGGGAAGGAGAAACAUUUGUGAAUGCGUAAGUCAGGAGACCUGCCUUAAAGAAUAGAUGUGA
Molecule: non-coding RNA, 186 nt
Filed under: Anaerobacillus isosaccharinicus
Lineage: Bacteria; Bacillati; Bacillota; Bacilli; Caryophanales; Bacillaceae
Also listed under: 1 other name
Source: RNAcentral